AGGAAGGGAUCGUGGUCUUUCCUUCUCCCGCCCUGUGUCUGGACCAAUCAGCCGCGGGCGCUCAGCCACGCCCCUUCCCUUUGGUUGCACGGGUCCAGAGCGCUGGCGGCCAGCAGAACGAUGGCGGCUGCGCGAGGUUUCCGUAGCUUGCAGGGCAUGGUUGGCGUGGUGACAGGCGGGGCGUCAGGGCUGGGCCAGGCCACGAUCAGAAGACUGGUUAAGCAAGGGGCCCAGGCUGUCAUCGUGGAUUUGCCGAAAUCAUCAGGCGAAGCGCUGGCCGCGGAGCUGGGGUCUUCCUGUGCCUUUGCCCCCACCGAUGUAACCUCAGAAGCAGAUAUACAGGGGGCCCUGACCUUGGCCAGGGAGAAGUUCGGCCGGGUGGACCUUGCCGUUAAUUGUGCUGGCAUAGCUCUGGCCUCUAAGACUUACAACUUCAAGCAGGAUCAGGUGCACUCCCUGGAGGCUUUCCAGAAGGUGAUCCAGGUAAACCUAAUUGGCACCUUCAACAUGAUCCGCCUUGCUGCUGUGGAGAUGGGGAAGAAUGAGCCAGAUGAGGACGGGCAACGGGGCGUUAUCAUCAACACAGCCAGUGUGGCUGCCUUUGAGGGCCAGGUUGGACAAAUUGCAUAUUCUGCAUCCAAGGGGGCCAUUGUAGCGAUGACCCUGCCUGCAGCCCGGGACCUGGCCCCCUUGGGGAUCCGGGUGGUCACCAUUGCUCCAGGUCUGUUUGAGACACCCCUCUUGUUGGGACUCCCCGAAAAGGUCCGCUCCUUCCUCGCCCGCCAAGUGCCCUUUCCUAGCCGUCUGGGUGAUCCAGCAGAAUAUGCCCACCUUGUGCAGGCUGUGGUGGAAAACCCCCUGCUCAAUGGUGAAGUGAUCCGUCUAGAUGGAGGUUUAGCAUCCUGUGAUCUGCUUGAAAAUGUCACCAUGACGAACGACCGUUCAUCUGCCCACCCCACCAACGCUCUCACCUCCUGGGCUCGCGCCGACGCCAAGAUGGGGCUUCUCCCACAGCUGGUGAACAGAGACAAAGCGUCUCUCCGCUGCCAUGGCAACGAGCUGGGGCAGACGGCGCGUGCGUGCGCUCCGGCUGGACCUCGGAAGGGAGUCCCUUCUCCGCCCCGCCCCUCCUGCCUGGCCCCGCCUCCACGAGGAAGAAGUUCUUUCGGGUCCGCUAAGGCCCCUCCCUCAACUCGGGCGAUCCAGAGGCCGCUUCUGAAGUUGGACCGCUGUGUCUACCUUCUGAUCCUCGGGAGGAGGGCAGCAGGACCAUCUCCGUCCCGCCCCUUCUGGCCCGCCAGUCUAGCGCAUGCGCGCCAAGAAGGCAAAGAGCGGGUUGAAUUGGUACAUAGAGAGGUCCCUGGCUUCGUCCUUUUAGGUUGCGCACGCGCAGGAGGAGAGCUAGUCCUGAAGUCUGGGUGUUCGGGAGGCUCGCCUGUGCCUUAACUUCCCUAGUGCGCACGCGCGCGGCUCCUCUCGCGCUGCUUCGUUCGCACUCGCGAUAUGGGGCCCGUUUUUGCGCGGGCUUUGCCGUCUCCGUCCCCCCCGCUGCCGUGGGCUCUCCGAAACUGCUCCAAGUCAAAAACUCCAAGGCCUGCGAGGGUCGGCAGAUCAUUGGGCCCUUCCAGGGGCUCGCCGUCAUGACCGGACCCAACGGCUCAGAAGUUCAGCAGGGACUUGCCUAAGGUCACAUGCUGAGUUGUUGGCCGUUUGGGUAGGGAUCCUCCUCUUCGUCCUCCUCCCCUCCCCAUUUAUUUCCUUCCUCCAUUUGGUUUACUCUUGGGCCAGCUCCCUGACUGAGUGGUUGGUCCCCAAUAAGGCCACCUUGGAAAGGGGGCGGGGCUGGGAAGGAGCUCAUCGGCUAGCUUGGUCACCCUCUACAACCUUCCCAACAAAUCAUUAGAUGGUUUCUCCUGCAAGACAGAUUCCAUCCCACCCACUCCCCCACCCCCCCUUGAAUUGUUUGGGACUUUGGCCUGACCGUAAUCCUCGGUGGGGAAGGCUGAGGAAGACACCCAGUGCAACUGUCAGCCAAAGAAUAGCGAGCACUACACAGCGGCCAGGCUGGAGUGUGACAACAGUGUGAGUCACUUGGGGCCAGUGACCUACACAAACUGUCCCCAGAGAUCGAAAGAGGAGGCGAUGUGGGCCUAUGUGACAGGCGUCUUCAGCUGAGGAAGGAAGGAUGACAACCAUGAUAAUUAGGACAACAGUGAGAUGGAGCACCUCCAAGACCCAGCAGAUGAAUGUGGACAAGGUGAAAGCUGAGCCAAAAGAGAAGAUGAUGAAGUCAGAGGAGAAGAGAGGAGAUCCAAGGCUGGCCUGCCCUGGCUGGAGAGAGAGCCCAGAGAGGGGAGAGGAACACCUUAGGCCUCAGAAUUGGAUGGUUCCAAGUCAGUUGCCCAUGUCUCUGAGCCUCUUUAUUUCUCUGUAAAAGCAGGUGAAUGAACUAAGUAAUGUCUAAAGGUCCCUUCUAUCUCGUGUUCUCUCUUUGUGUAUCUGUCUCUUUAGAACACGUGUGUGCACGUGCCCACACACACUCUCUCAUAUACACCCCAGCACUUGAGAAAUUAACCCUAAAUACGUGCCAUAUGGACAGUGUGCUGUGUGUAGGCUAGAUACUAAGAAUUUGGGGAACUUAGAGGAGGAAGAAGUAACUGUGGGUUGUAGGUUUUGGGUGGUAGGAUGGAGAAAUACCUUGAAGUUGGGGCUAGAGGGCUAUCGAGGAUUGGGCAAAGCAGAGAGGCUGGGUGCCUCCUCCCCCCAGAUGCCCUACUUGUACCUU
This is an RNA transcript of Dromiciops gliroides (monito del monte), 2785 nucleotides long. It is a transcript of the gene named hydroxysteroid 17-beta dehydrogenase 10, with no coding region annotated. The record is from RefSeq and is a predicted model, not a curated record. The transcript is spliced from 9 exons. Lineage: Eukaryota; Metazoa; Chordata; Mammalia; Microbiotheria; Microbiotheriidae.